This 944-nucleotide long non-coding RNA is filed under the name Salmo salar (Atlantic salmon). RNAcentral's name for it is "lncRNA (ENSSSAG00000082105.1, ENSSSAG00075031620.1)". The record is from RNAcentral. Lineage: Eukaryota; Metazoa; Chordata; Actinopteri; Salmoniformes; Salmonidae.
CUGUUAGGAUGUGGUUAGGUUGCUGUUAGGAUGCUGUUCAGAUGCUGUUAGCCUGCUGUUAGGAUGCUGUUAGGCACAUUUUAGGAUGCUGUUAGGCUGCUGUUAGGUUACUUUUCGUAUGCUGUUAAGAUGCUGUUAGGUUGCUAUAAGCCUGCUGUUAGGCUGCUGUUAGGACGCUGUUAGGCUGCUGUUAGGUUACUUUUCGUAUGCUGUUAAGAUGCUGUUAGGAUGCUGUUAGGCUGCUGUUAGGUUGCUGUUAGGUUGCUGUUAGGUUGCUGUUAGGCUGCUGUUUGGCUGCUGUUAGGAUGCUGUUAAGAUGCUGUUUGGCUGUUGUUUGGCUUCUGUUAGGAUGCUGUUAGGAUGCAGUUAGGCUGCUGUUAGGCUGCUGUUAGGUUGCUGUUUGGUUGCUGUUAGGAUGCUGUUUGUCUGUUGUUAGGAUGCUGUUAGAAUGCUGUUAGGCUGUUAGGUUGCUGUUAGGCUGCUGUUAGGCGGUUAGGAUGCUAAUAGGUUGCUGUUAGGCUGUUAGGAUGCUAAUAGGUUGCUGUUAGGCUGUUAGGAUGUGGUUAGGUUGCUGUUAGGAUGCUGUUCAGAUGCUGUUAGCCUGCUGUUAGGAUGCUGUUAGGCACAUUUUAGGAUGCUGUUAGGCUGCUGUUAGGAUGCUGUUAGGAUGCUGUUAGGCUGCUGUUAGGACGCUGUUAGGCUGCUGUUAGGUUACUUUUCGUAUGCUGUUAAGAUGCUGUUAGGAUGCUGUUAGGCUGCUGUUAGGUUGCUGUUAGGUUGCUGUUAGGUUGCUGUUAGGCUGCUGUUUGGCUGCUGUUAGGAUGCUGUUAAGAUGCUGUUUGAAUGUUGUUUGGCUUCUGUUAGGAUGCUGUUAAGAUUCUGUUUGGCUGUUGUUUGGCUUCUGUUAGGAUGCUGUUAGGAUGCUGUUAAGCUGCUGUUAGGUU